Molecule: long non-coding RNA, 200 nt
Organism: Saccostrea cuccullata (small rock oyster)
Lineage: Eukaryota; Metazoa; Mollusca; Bivalvia; Ostreida; Ostreidae
Exons: 3
Source: RefSeq, a predicted model, not a curated record
UUGGUUCUCUUUGCAAAGCGAUAUAUACAUGCAGGAGAAGAAAUCAGAUAUGAUUAUGGUGUUACAGGCUUAUCUUGGAGAAAGGUGCCUAAAGAACAAAGAAAAACAACAAAAAAGAUAAAGGAAACUGAUCAGGUGAAAGAUUGUUUUGUGAGAUUGACAAGGCUUCCAGUAAAACAGCUGACCAAACUUGACAGCAA